UGGGGAAUCUUGGACAAUGGGCGCAAGCCUGAUCCAGCCAUGCCGCGUGAGUGACGAAGGCCUUAGGGUUGUAAAACUCUUUCGUGGGGGACGAUAAUGACGGUACCCCAAGAAGAAGCUCCGGCUAACUUCGUGCCAGCAGCCGCGGUAAUACGAAGGGGGCUAGCGUUGUUCGGAUUUACUGGGCGUAAAGCGCGUGUAGGCGGGUCGUUAAGUUGGGGGUGAAAUCCCGAGGCUCAACCUCGGAACUGCCUUCAAAACUGGCGGCCUGGAGCAGAUGAGAGGCGAGUGGAAUUCCGAGUGUAGAGGUGAAAUUCGUAGAUAUUCGGAGGAACACCAGUGGCGAAGGCGACUCGCUGGCAUCUUGCUGACGCUGAGACGCGAAAGCGUGGGGAGCAAACAGGAUUAGAUACCCCCGUAGUCC
This 424-nucleotide ribosomal RNA is filed under the name uncultured bacterium. Its description in RNAcentral is "bacterial SSU rRNA". It matches the Rfam family "Bacterial small subunit ribosomal RNA", at positions 355 to 796 of the family's 1533-position model. The record is from RNAcentral.